CAUGGCUCACGGGUGUUUUUUUAGACAGCUCGCGAACGGAUGGCUUCAAAAGCUCUUGGGCAUGAUCUAGGUCCUGAUCUAACGGUCGGAAAGCAAGCGGGCAUGAUCUGAGGCUUUGUUUGUGCAAUCCAAUGGUUGGAGAUGCGAGCGGUGAAGAUUCAAAGGCUGAGAGGUUUUCUUAGAUUUAAUCAGAGUGCAUCUCUGAUCAAGGCUCAAAUUCUGAGCUUUAAAAGACCCUGUGGUGAAUGAUGGCCUUAUGGUGUAGUUCGGCAGAGAUCCUGUAUGCAGCGAACAGAGAGG
This 300-nucleotide long non-coding RNA is filed under the name Elaeis guineensis (African oil palm). RNAcentral describes it as "long non-coding RNA (EGUI_LNC015242)". Lineage: Eukaryota; Viridiplantae; Streptophyta; Magnoliopsida; Arecales; Arecaceae. The record is from RNAcentral.